Molecule: long non-coding RNA, 9780 nt
Filed under: Solanum tuberosum (potato)
Lineage: Eukaryota; Viridiplantae; Streptophyta; Magnoliopsida; Solanales; Solanaceae
Description: long non-coding RNA (STUB_LNC004680)
Source: RNAcentral
AUCCCUUAAUGUUUUAAUAGUAACACGAAUUUUGCAUUUACCAUUGAAUUUUCCUAGUCAAUCAUCAUUUAUAGACCUACAAUGUAUCACAUCAAGCAUAUGCGGGUGUUUGGAUUUAUAAAUAUUAUUAUUAUUUAUACUGCGGUUUAGUGCUCGAAUUGUAAAGGUUUUCGCUUAAUCACUUCAUGAUUUUAAUAUACCGUGUUGUUCCGACAAAAAUCUCAUAUUGUAUAUAAUGUCCUAAUGGAAAUUUUGCAGAUUUCUAGUAGACAUUUUCACAUUUAUUUAAGGCUUAUGAUAGAAGGGUAUUAGUUUAUGACAAAUAUAGGAAUAGUUUUAAAUAUAUACAAUAAAGUAAUUAGUUUACAGCGAAUAUAACAAAGUUUUAUUUACAUAAAAAAUAGCCAAAAGUCAUAGAAAGUAUACAUUGACUAUACAAUAUAGCUCGUUUUAAGUUAUAGAAAAUAGACAUUAACUAUACAAUAUAGUUCAUCUAUACAUGAGCUAUACUUUAGAUAUACAUUAUAUACACUCAAAAAGUUGAUCCAAGAAAAAACAAGUAUGAAUAAAAUGACAACAUUCAUAAUUUCACAAGUUAAAUAUAUCCCUCUUCACUCUCAGCAAGACAAAAACACUAAUUAUUUAUUUAGAACUUAAUAUAUAUCUAUCAACAAUUGUACGUUCAAUAAAGAUCACAAACUCCAUGUAGUGAUAUAUUUGCCUUUUUAAUUAGUAAAUGUUAAACAACUCACAUUUCAAAUAUUAUGUUGAUUUGUAUUGGAUUUAUUUAAAAACAAACAACUCUCUCUAAAUAAUAAAAUUUGUAAGCUAAUUUAUUUAAAUAAAUUUAUUAGUACAAAUAUAAAACAUAAAAUACAGAAAAUAAACAAAACCGUUAAAAGAAUUUUGAGGGAUAUUUUUUUUGCUUUACAUAGAUUUAUACCGUGGUAUUAAAUUCUAUGUAUUCCUAAUAUCACCAAAUGUAAGGUAUUAGUUAUACAUCAUAUAGCAUGUUGGGUGAGUAACUAAUCCAUGAAUUAGCUAUACAUAGGCCUUAAAUUCCUACCAAACACAGUACUAAAUAAUACUAUACAAAUACAUGGACUAUUUCUCCUAACAUUCCCUUCCAAACGACUCAUUAGUAUUUUUCAGUCUUUUGAUGUUUCUACAACCUAUAUAAACUUUGUCCUAAUUAAACUUUCUUUUGCUUGUCUCUGCCCAACCUGUGUUACCAUAAUCUGGUAUUCCAUUAGUGAUGAGCUACCAAAGGAAUUCGUACCAAAACCCUAAAUUUUUAUCAGAUUAACUUCGCUGGUAGGUGUCAUUGUCAACGCCAGCGAUAGAUGGCCUACGCUCCAUGCUGAUGAACCACCACCAAAACCACCGUUGAACUAUGCAACAAAUUUUAAUAAAGUAGAAGACAAAAUCACAAUGCCUAUCCCUAUCAAAGAUAUUACUUCCAUCCAUGGAGACCCAACUGUAUUAUGGGAGGAAGAAGAGGUUCAAAUCAUGAUCAUUAAAAAAGAUUUAUAGUAUGCCAUAACUGAAAUUUUUUCUUAGGGCUGGUCAAACCUAGAAAAGAUUCGUAAAUUGAUCCUUUACGGUGUGAGAUUCAAGCCUGAAUGUAAGGAAGGAUUCUUGAGUGAUAGACACAUACUAAUUCGGCUUACCAAUAUGAAAGAUUACGUACAUGUCAUGUCAAAAUUGACAUAUUUUUUGAAGGCUAAAGACCGAUAUAAUAUCAUAUGUGACCUCUAAAGUGGGAACCCUAGUUCAACCCAAAGGAGGAAACUACUAUUGUCUUAGUGUGGAUCUCUUUUUUAUCCCUAUCACCUACCUUUUUCGUUAAAGAAUUCUUGUUUACGAUGGACAAAGCAGUGGGAAACCGUUACAUGUUGUCAUGGCUACAAUAAGCAAAUCUAGACCUAGUUUUGUCAUGGUAAAGGUUGAGUUCGACUUAUUGAAAGAAUUUCUCAAACGAAUCAAUGUUGGAGUUAAGAAGACAUAUUCUGGGGAAAUCAUCUCAACAUAGAUAAAAUUCUUAUACGAUUACAUGCCAAAGUAUUGCAAAUAUUGUGAACUUCAAGGCAGAGACAUGAUUUUCGUCGAGGCGGGUUAAAAAGAUACGUAAGCAUACUAAAAGUAUUCACAAAUGAUUGGAUCGAGGCGGGUCAAAUAUAAAUAGGUCGGAUUCGACAUAAGCAACUAAAUAAAAUUCAACUCUACCUCAACACAAACAAUAAAAUCGAGGAAUUAUAUGUUUGACAUAAUAUUAAAAUGAGUAUGAGAGAAUGUAUUUUUUAAAAAAUUAAUUACGGUCUUGUCUCCAUCAUUUUUUAUAUAUAUGUUACUAGUAUACGUACCCGCGUAAUGCGUAUAUAAUAUUAAAAUAUUAUUUUCAAUUUUUUUUAUUGUGAUAUCUUGUUCGAGUAUAUUAAAUCAUACAAAAGUUCAACUAUCAUAUUGUUUCUCAUUAAUGAAAUGUAAUCCCUCCCCCUCCCCCCUCCCCCACCCACCCUCACCCCAUAACUAAUUUAUUACUAUUAUAUUGUUCACAAUUUAAAAUCAUUAAAUUGUUGGUACUGGUUUUUAUUAGCAUAUCAUUUAGCUUAAUAUAAUCAUUAAAUAAUUUUUCUAAUUAAUAUAAAACAUAUAUAUUUAUUGUGUUUACUCGUGAUUUUUUAAUUUUAUUUUAGUGUUCACACCUCUCUAAUUUAAAGUUUUAUGGACAAUAAUAUGUAUAUUAUUGAACUAUUUUAUUGUACUCUCAAAAUUAUUCAAAAUAUUCUCCCCACCCCUCUUCCCCCUUCUUUUUUUACUGUAUUUUUAUUACUUUUCGCUAAUCUAAUUUGAAUGAUUUUUUUAUGUUACACGUCAGAAGCACUUGAGUGUUUUUUUAUUUCAAUAUAUAGAAUACUAAGCUUAAAUUUGUUACUUAAAUUCUAUAUUUUAAUGUUUCAUUAUUCAUUGAGAUUUUAGUGAUAUGAUAUAUAGAUUUUAAGUCUUUUCUCGUUAUAAUUGAAAAAAUAUUUUCUCAUCUAAAAGCCCUUCAACUUUUUUUACAUUAUAAUUUAUAAUUUGUUUCCUAGUUUUGUCCUAACUUAAUAGUUAUUGUAUUAUUCAUAAAUUAGUAUCCUUACAUUAGUAUGUAAGAUUUUAAUAGCUUGUAACUUUAUCUAAUAUUCUUAUGGUGCGUAAGAUAUUAAUAAGAAUAUCAGUUAGUUAUAUCUAUUUACAUUUUAUAAUGGAUAAAUUUUUACAACAUGAAAUUAAAAUUGAUAAAAUUCACUAAUAAAGUUAGUGAUCAAUAACUUUAAAAAAAAUAGAGGAGUAAUCUUAACAUUAUAAAUCAUUGUAGAAGUAUAUGUAAGAGGAGCAAAGAAAGUAAAACUCCAUUACAAAUCAAAUUGUACUUAAGUUUGAAUUCAAAUAUCAUUUUAAUUUUUUUUUUAAAUCUUUUUAUCGCUUAUCUCUAUCCUUGAUUUUAUUAAUACAAUAAUAUUUUUUAUAAGCUAUAUAUUUGAAUGGAGAGAAAUAUUUGGAAUUAAUAAGAUAGUUGAUGAUUAAAUUGACUAAAGGGUCACUUGGUGUAGUUAUACCAAAGAAUUAUUUGAAGAAGAAAAAACAGAUAUGACUAAAAUGACAGCAUUCAUAAUUUCACAAGUUAAAAAUAUACCUUUGCACUCUCAGCAAGACAAAAACACUAAUUAUUUAUAUAGAACUUAAUAUAUAUAUAUAUAUAAACUUAAAAGUGGAAAUUCCUAUCUUGAAAGUUGGAUUAUAAUUGUGCUCCUACAUCAUAUUAAAAUAUAAUGAGAAUAUCUAUAAUCAUAUCACUAGUAUGAUACAAUAAAUUUAUUUCAAAUUAACUGUUCAUGAUAAACACAUUUAUUUUAUAGCUUUACUCUAUUUUAAUACCUAAAAAAAUUGUUAUAAACAUGAGUAAAUGUGUAUCGUUCAGAUCUUGGUCAUAGUUCAAGGGUACUAUAUAAAAUGCGCAAAAUACAAUAUAUAUAUCAACAAUACGACAUUCAAUAAAGAUCACAAACGUCAUGUAGUGAUAUAUUUGUCUUUUCAAUUAGAAAAUGUUAAACAACUCACAUUUCAAAUAUUAUAUUUAUUUGUAUUGAAUUUAUUUAACAAAUUGUUACGACCUGAUUUCGAAAACUAAGGUCUCGAAGCCAAUUUCACAACUUUGGCAAUUUUGUUGAGUUUUUGAAAAAUUUAUAAUUUGGAAGUCGCCACUUAGUUUUUUAGGAAAAAUUAAGAAAACCAUUUAAAACAGGAAUAUUUGAAAGAAAACAUAUUAAAUAAAAUCAGAGUCGGGUAAGGGUUCAAAUAAUUCUCUAAGGAAGGGUUUAGGCAUCUUAGAGAAUCCGCUGAUUCGCGGUUGACCGACGGAUUUAAAAGUUGGCUAAUUUUAAAAGAAAACUUAAAUUACUUGAAAAAAUCUUAUUUGAAACUUAGAAAAUCUUUUGAUAUUUCUAAAAAAUCUCAAGAAUAAUCUUAACUUAGCUAGCGUUUGGCCAUAGAUUUCCAAAUAUAUUUGGCAAAUAUUAUUUGGGUGAAGAUUUGGGUGAAAUUUCACCAUGUGUUUGGCCAUAGUAUUUGGGAAAUAUAUUUCAAUUUUUUAAGAAAUAUGACUUAUGCCCAUAAGUUUUUAAAACUAUCAAAACUAACCAUAAAUUUGUAUUACAUAGCAAAAUAGAAAUGUCGCGUAACAAGAUUCAUGACUUCCGCAACAAAUCAAAAAGCAUCAUUACAGUAAAUAGUCGCAUCGUUAAAAAAGACUAGUACAAAUCAUGAUAAUGAAAAUACAACUAAUAUGAAUUUGAAAAAGAAGAAGAAAACAGAAGGAAAUAAAUAUUGCAAUGUAUGCUCUUGUACAUGUAUGCUCUUUAUAAUAGAAAAAUUUAUUAAUUGAGUUAGUUAGCAAAUGGAGAUUUGAUUGAGUUGGUUGGUGUUAAUAAAUAAAGUGUUUUUGUAAAAGAUAAAAGUUUGGUGUUAAAUUUGAAUUUUUAAAACUUUCCAAAUAAUGAGAUUUGGCCCAAAUACUAGAAAAAACUAGUAUUUGGGAAUUUGGGUUAUUUGCCAAAAAAAAUUGCCAAAUAAUGAGAAAGUGUAUGGACAAACAAUAUUUGCCAAAUUUUUUCCCAAGUUUUACUUGGGAAAUCUAUGGCCAAACGGGCCCUUAAAACUUCUAUCCAUUGUCAAGUUUUGAAUCAUACAAUUAAUUCAAACUUAUAAACAUGGAUUAAAAGACUUUGUUUAAUAACUACGAAAGGAUAUAGAAAAUCCUUAAGUCAUUCUUAUAAAGUCCUAAGUUAACUUUAAAGACAACUAAUUUAGUUUUAAAAAAAACUUAGCAAUUUUAUCCUAUUCAAAAAUUUGAACUAAAUAGUUAGUUCAAACUCAUAAACAUGGAUUCAAAGCUUUUCAAUAACUAUGAAAGAACAUGAAAAGUUCUUAAGUUAUUCUAAGGGAUAAGGAUCUAAAAAAUACCUCAACUUUGGUCGAAUUUGCUGUUGCAAUACUAAACUUUCAUGAGGACCUAUUACCUCCCUAGACUAUUUAAUACUGUAUUUUAAACAUACAUAUUUGCCCACGUGGACAUAAAAAAUAAUGCAAAAUUAUAAAUAGUAAUGUGUCCACGUGUGCACAUAUAUACCUUUAAAAUACACUAUUAAAUAGUUCAGGGGGUAAAAAAUACACUAUUAAAUAGUCUAGGGAGGUAAUAGGUCCUCAUGAAAGUUUAGUAUCGCAACAGCAAAUUUGACCAAAGUUGAGGAUUGGGUUGUUUGGUAUAAAAAUGCUAUAUUGAGCUUGUUGGAGUCUUUGGAUUUUAAAAAUUGCUUCUUUCAAAUAUAUAUUUGUCCUCCUAGUUUAAGAUAUAAGAUGCAUAUGCUUGACAUGAAAAUUGCAUUUUAGAUUGGAUUAAUAAGUUAGGUUUUCUGGAAAAGACAUAUUUUCAAGUCUCAAUUAGAUUAAUUGUUGUGGUCUGUUUACUGCCUCUCUUAGAUACUUUCCAUUUCUUUGAAAUGUUGGAAUUUGUUAAGCUUUCCCAGCAACUCAUGUUGUGUGAACUCAUGUUUCAAAUUACAUUUCCUCUCACUUUCUAUGUGUUAAAUAUAUUAAGAUAGAUAGAUAUAUGUAUGUUUAGUGUUCUUGCUCUUCUUAGAUGGUUACCUUAACUUUUUUUUAGGUACUCUUAAGUGUUAUGGUAAAAAUUCAAUUGUCCUUUUCCUUAUCUAAUAUUUUGAUAUUCUUAUCGCUUAAGUAUGUGUUUGGAAUUUAUGAUUGUGUUGUUUCUUGGUUUGAAUGUGGAAGAAUUGUGUUAGGUUUGGAAAUUAAUUGUCUUUGUUUGUUUCUGUUGGUUUCUUCCAUUGUUUGACUUAUGUAAAUUGCAUUAUUAUGUAUUGUUUGAGUUUGUUUAUGUUAAUUUGCUAAUCUUUUAUUCCUUUAUUUCUUGGUGCAUGAACACUCUCUCGUUGAGUCCAAUUUGGACUCCCAUCUCAUGCAUUUUCCUCUCUUCGAGUCCUCCUCCAAGUCGUGAAAGAGAAGUUAUUUUUAUUGGGUUAAAAAUUCAAUAAAUGAGGCAGAUUGCAGCGGUCCUAAAGGGCUGAAACUUGAGUAUUUUGGACUUAAAAGCUUGGUAAAAUGACCAGCAGCAGUAGAGACCUCAAAAAGGCCGAAAAAGGAGAAACAAAAUUGGGUUAAAACCCCUAAAGGAUCAAGAGGCAACACAACAAUUUCAGCCCCGAAAUGAUCGAAUGUGGGCUGGAAUUUCCAGUUUUUGACUCACUGUUCAUGUUACUUCCUCUUAUUAUUUUAUUUGUGAUGGCUAACAUUUUCUUAAUCUAGAUGAAAUUCCCAUGGAUCUCUUCGAGUUUAUUUUUAUCAAAGUUUUCUUUAUUAUAAUUGGUAGCAUUUCAAAUUUUCAAAUUCCCAAAACUCAUUUUAAGUUAUGCAAUUUAAGCUUAUUAGAAUAAGGGAUAAGGGUAUGAAAAAUACCUUAACUUUGGUCGAAUUUGCUGUUGCGAUACUAAACUUUCAUGAGGACCUAUUACCUCCCUAGACUAUUUAAUACUGUAUUUUAAACAUACAUAUUUGCCCACGUGGACAUAAAAAAUAAUGCAAAAUUAUAAAUAGUAAUGUGUCCACGUGUGCACAUAUAUACCUUUAAAAUACACUAUUAAAUAGUUCAGGGGGUAAAAAAUACACUAUUAAAUAGUCUAGGGAGGUAAUAGGUCCUCAUGAAAGUUUAGUAUCGCAACAGCAAAUUCGACCAAAGUUAAGGUAUUUUUCAUACCCUUAUCCCUUAUUCUAAUAAGCUUAAAUUGCAUAACUUAAAAUGAGUUUUGGGAAUUUGAAAAUUUGAAAUGCUACCAAUUAUAAUAAAGAAAACUUUGAUAAAAAUAAACUCGAAGAGAUCCAUGGGAAUUUCAUCUAGAUUAAGAAAAUGUUAGCCAUCACAAAUAAAAUAAUAAGAGGAAGUAACAUGAACAGUGAGUCAAAAACUGGAAAUUCCAGCCCACAUUCGAUCAUUUCGGGGCUGAAAUUGUUGUGUUGCCUCUUGAUCCUUUAGGGGUUUUAACCCAAUUUUGUUUCUCCUUUUUCGGCCUUUUUGAGGUCUCUACUGCUGCUGGUCAUUUUACCAAGCUUUUAAGUCCAAAAUACUCAAGUUUCAGCCCUUUAGGACCGCUGCAAUCUGCCUCAUUUAUUGAAUUUUUAACCCAAUAAAAAUAACUUCUCUUUCACGACUUGGAGGAGGACUCGAAGAGAGGAAAAUGCAUGAGAUGGGAGUCCAAAUUGGACUCAACGAGAGAGUGUUCAUGCACCAAGAAAUAAAGGAAUAAAAGAUUAGCAAAUUAACAUAAACAAACUCAAACAAUACAUAAUAAUGCAAUUUACAUAAGUCAAACAAUGGAAGAAACCAACAGAAACAAACAAAGACAAUUAAUUUCCAAACCUAACACAAUUCUUCCACAUUCAAACCAAGAAACAACACAAUCAUAAAUUCCAAACACAUACUUAAGCGAUAAGAAUAUCAAAAUAUUAGAUAAGGAAAAGGACAAUUGAAUUUUUACCAUAACACUUAAGAGUACCUAAAAAAAAGUUAAGGUAACCAUCUAAGAAGAGCAAGAACACUAAACAUACAUAUAUCUAUCUAUCUUAAUAUAUUUAACACAUAGAAAGUGAGAGGAAAUGUAAUUUGAAACAUGAGUUCACACAACAUGAGUUGCUGGGAAAGCUUAACAAAUUCCAACAUUUCAAAGAAAUGGAAAGUAUCUAAGAGAGGCAGUAAACAGACCACAACAAUUAAUCUAAUUGAGACUUGAAAAUAUGUCUUUUCCAGAAAACCUAACUUAUUAAUCCAAUCUAAAAUGCAAUUUUCAUGUCAAGCAUAUGCAUCUUAUAUCUUAAACUAGGAGGACAAAUAUAUAUUUGAAAGAAGCAAUUUUUAAAAUCCAAAGACUCCAACAAGCUCAAUAUAGCAUUUUUAUACCAAACAACCCAAUGGCGAAGAGUAUACAACUUAUAUUUCUAAUUAUAUGCAUUCAAAAGAGGGUAAAUGGAAGGAAGGAAACCAUCCGUAAUUAUAUCGAUCAGCAACUAUAUAACAUGGAUUUCAAAGUUGAAUAAGAAUUAAGUUAACUAGAAGCACAUAUUUCACAUAGAUUUACGAACUCGGCUAAGCGAAGGAAUCAUCUACACAUUUUCUCAAGUAUAUGGAAAUAACCAUGAAGGAAAUAUAAAAUAGGCGAGUUCAAAUAAGUAACUUGAACAAGAUCAUACUUCAUAAGAAAACAGAAAAUAAACUAGCACACCAUAUAUGAUACUCGAAAAAAAUAAAAAAACAUACCUAGCCAUCAAGACACAUAAUAGAAAUAAGCAAUGGCCAUAAUGAAACGCCCUAAACAAAUUUACUUGCUGAACAAAUAAGAGCUAAACUUGGCUAAUCUACAAGAUUAAACUUGGCUAAUCUACAAGAUUAUAGGAAAUACCCAAAACUGAAAAUGACAGGAUAUUAGGAAGAGAAAACUAACUAAGCCAAAAUUAAUUUUUGCUCGGAAUAAACAACAACAACAACAACAAAAGAACACUUCAGAUAAUGAGGAAAAUAACAAUUUAUUUUUCUAUGCUAAAGCAGCUAAUACCAAACAUGAUUACAACGAGCAAAACAUAAUUGAGAGCGCACGAAACAUUGAAAUAAAGAGAAGAUUACCUGGUUCUGGGCAGCGAACCGGACGUCAAGUUUGACGGAGACGACCACCACCUCCUUCAACUCAAACAACCACAAAAGCUACAAAAUUUGAACUAUUGAACCAAGAAUUCCCAAAACAUUUAGGGUACUCUUUGGUCUCCAAAAAAAAUCCUCCUGAACAGUGAAGAGAGAAGGGCUUAUAUAGGACAAUUUCUGAGUCGAAAUUGAGGGGGAAAAUGAUGUGGGACUACUGUAAAUUUUGAAAUUCUUAGAGGAUAAGGUGUGAGCUGUAAUGUACCAUUCUCAACGGAAAAACUGACGAGGGCCGCUUGAUUUUGAACAAGGACGAGCGAGGCGUCAAGAUGCAAACACCUGGCUUCGUACGAGGAUAUUUCUGUACGAGAGGAUAAGGAGAGAGCACGCACUGCUGCUGGGUUCGCUAUUUGCUGUUGGUUCGCGUUUGGUACACGUUUUCUGGGUUUGGGUCGCAAUUCAGGAGAAGAAGACGCGUGAAGGUGUCGUUCUGGGUAUUGUACGCGUAUGUACUGCUGUACUGUUCUUUUGCUGAAAUAAAA